Molecule: unclassified non-coding RNA, 216 nt
Filed under: Hevea brasiliensis (rubber tree)
Lineage: Eukaryota; Viridiplantae; Streptophyta; Magnoliopsida; Malpighiales; Euphorbiaceae
Source: RNAcentral
AGUUAAUAAAUUGUGAAUUAGUAAGAAGAAAAAAAAAAUAGUAAUAAUUCCACUCCACGUGUUUCUCAUAAUAAUCAACAGUCUCUACUUUUCUCGAUAAUGGAUCCUCGUGGUAGGGCACUAAUUUUGCACUGACAGAGUGAAAGAGACGACCAUGCAAAUGUACGAUCAUCUUUGGUAGCCAUCUCAGAAAAGGGUUGGCUCUGAUACUAGAGA